AAGCCAAGUUGUCAUCCCCAGCAUGAUAUAAUAGACGCGGUAUUGAAAUAUGCAAUUGCUCUUCUAAAUAAAUAAUGAAUGGGAUCUGCAAGCGCACAGAUUAAUACCGAUGUAGCAUUUUAAUCGGGAAGUAUUCCAGGUAUCGUUAUUUAUAUUUUUACCACUGGGAAGGGAUUAGCAAUCAUCAAUAUUGAUUACAGAAUAGA
This 206-nucleotide long non-coding RNA is filed under the name Sorghum bicolor (sorghum). Its description in RNAcentral is "long non-coding RNA (SBIC_LNC018641)". The record is from RNAcentral. Lineage: Eukaryota; Viridiplantae; Streptophyta; Magnoliopsida; Poales; Poaceae.